RNAcentral lists this ribosomal RNA (432 nucleotides) under Triticum aestivum (bread wheat). RNAcentral describes it as "partial small subunit ribosomal RNA". The record is from RNAcentral. Lineage: Eukaryota; Viridiplantae; Streptophyta; Magnoliopsida; Poales; Poaceae.
AUGCAAGUCGAAGAAGGAUUGGCCCGUGCUGCCGGCUGGCGUCAAGUUCGAUCCCACGGAUCAGGAGCUGACAGCACGAGAUUUCAGUCUCUCAUUGAUUUGUUCAUACCAACCAUCGACAGCGAGCAUGGCAUAUGUUACACCCAACCUGAGAAACUUCCACGUAUCACACUGAGUGGCCUAACGAAGCAUUUCUUCCAGCGCAAUUCCAGGGCGUUCAAAAGGGGCGCGUGGACGCGUCGCAAGAUACAGUCAGAGUGCGGCAUGCACGCGAUGUGGCACAAGACCAGCAAUACCUUGCCGGUGAUGGUCAAUGGCCGUUAUCAGUCUGUACUUGCAGAAUUCUUGUUUAUUGAGCACGCCCAGCCCAUGAUGACAACGGGGCACAAAUAUCCAGCAUGUAUCUACUGGCCUCUGGCCCGCCAGCGUUAG